This 787-nucleotide ribosomal RNA is filed under the name uncultured bacterium. RNAcentral's name for it is "bacterial SSU rRNA". It matches the Rfam family "Bacterial small subunit ribosomal RNA", at positions 21 to 794 of the family's 1533-position model. The record is from RNAcentral.
GGCCGCGGGAAUUCCAUUCAGGCCUAACACAUGCAAGUCGAGCGAACAGAUGAACUUCUUGCACUUCUGACGUUAGCGGCGAACGGGUGAGUAACACGUAAGGAAUCUACCUAUAAGCGGGGGAUAACAUUCGGAAACGGGUGCUAAUACCGCAUAAUAUCUUCUUCCGCAUGGAAGAAGAUUGAAAGACGGCUCUGCUGUCACUUAUAGAUGACCUUGCGGUGCAUUAGUUAGUUGGUGGGGUAAUGGCCUACCAAGACAAUGAUGCAUAGCCGACCUGAGAGGGUGAUCGGCCACAUUGGGACUGAGACACGGCCCAAACUCCUACGGGAGGCAGCAGUAGGGAAUCUUCCGCAAUGGGCGAAAGCCUGACGGAGCAAUGCCGCGUGAGUGAAGAAGGCCUUCGGGUCGUAAAACUCUGUUAUAAGAGAAGAACAAAUUGUAGAGUAACUGCUACAGUCUUGACGGUAUCUUAUCAGAAAGCCACGGCUAACUACGUGCCAGCAGCCGCGGUAAUACGUAGGUGGCAAGCGUUGUCCGGAUUUAUUGGGCGUAAAGGGAGCGCAGGUGGUUUCUUAAGUCUGAUGUGAAAGCCCACGGCUUAACCGUGGAGGGUCAUUGGAAACUGGGAAACUUGAGUACAGAAGAGGAAUGUGGAACUCCAUGUGUAGCGGUGGAAUGCGUAGAUAUAUGGAAGAACACCAGUGGCGAAGGCGACAUUCUGGUCUGUUACUGACACUGAGGCUCGAAAGCGUGGGGAGCAAACAGGAUUAGAUACCCUGGUAGU